AUAAUGUAGAAUCAGUGCCAAAGAAACAGUUGGGUCCCUCCCUUGGUAUGAAAAAAUCAUCUAGUUUGGAAUCCCUGCAAACCAUGGUUCAUGGAAUUCAGAUGGCUGAAGAUGGUGAGGUUUAUCAUCGAACUGGUCAAGGCUCAGUGCGGGUAAUUCGAGGUCGUGGCUGCAACGAAGUUUUCGUGCAGCUGUUGAUCGUAGCUAUGACACGCCUUUUUCGCUUCCCCAUGAACUUCAAAUGGAUAUUCUUGCAGAAGAUGAGAGAGAAUCACAUGCUUCACUGGAAUUCAACAGGAUGAAACAGAACUCUGGUAAAAAGAAAGCAGGUCUUCUCAAAGGAAUAGGAUCAAUGUUCAGGUUUGGGAAGCACAGGAAAUCCAUGGAUUCGUCUGGACCAGCUUCCCAUCUUGGUAUUGGAAGUAGGGAGCCAGGAGGUGCCCUAGAAGAAGAGCGUGAAAACGCUCGGAGGGCUGCCCGCGAAGAACAGAUCAGAAUCCAGGAGCAAUACAAGCGGCUCAUUCAAAACAAAACGAGCAACAACAAGUCAGUAUCCCUAUUUCCAUAAACCUUUAUUUUUUGCUUUUUUAACCUGUGAUAAGUCAUCGCUCAUGACCAGUUGCCUGGCACAUCACCUGUCAGUGACUCUAAAAAUGCAAAUUUUUAACUUACUCGGCUACAUAGAGCUAUUCUGACUAAACCCAGGAUGGCUUUAGUUACGGACAAUCUAGGAAAUUGGGAAAAUUCAGGGUAAAGUCUCGUUCACUAAAGUAGCUAAAUUUUAUAAGUGGCACUCAGCUUGUCUCCUACCUGGACCAAAAAUUUUUGAAAUUAAAAUUAAAUAAAUCAAAAUUAAAUUUUUGUUGGUAAAGCUUUUAGAAAAUUCUAUUUUUUUAGAAGAGCUGUCUCGUCUUUCCAGGAUGUUCAGUCUCUUCUCACUUUGUUUAAGUUUUUAGUGCUGCCAAUUUUAACUUAUGCUUCUCCUAUUUGGUUCCCUCAUACUUCCCAUAACAUUUGUAAACUUGAAAAGGUUCGCCAUAGUUUUUUAAGGUUUGCAUCCUAUUGCACUAAUAGCCCCUUAGGAAUCCAUGAUCAUUUUUAUGGAGAUAUUGCUAAACAUCUGAACUUAUGCUCCCUAGUCUCUAUGUAGAGUUAUUAUGAUCUCAUGUUUUUGUUUAAACUUGUUAGAUUCUCCUACUCUUCUUAGCUACAUACAUUUCCAUGUUCCUCCGAGAUCUUUGCAAAACUUAAAUCGUCUAUUUGUUAUCCCCUCACAUAUUGUCAUCUGGAAGCAUAGAUCUGUUAUUCCCAGAAUUUCAGAUUUUGCAAAUAGCUGUACGGAAUGAAUACAAUUUUACGGCUUAAGUAUCUCGAAUUUUCAGUCUUUGAUGAAAGAACGGGUUCUAAUUACUUAUUAGUCACAUUCUCUUUGCCCGUUUUGUUGUAUGUUUUGUUGCCUUUGUUUUUAUUGAAGUUUUAUGUAAUUGGGACUUGUCCCGUUGAAAUUGAAAUAAAUAAAUAAAUAAAUUAUUAUUAAUCAUCAUACAUCGACUUAAAGGUCAGGAAUUUCCUUAAAAUUGGGGGGGGGGGGGAUCAGGAAGUGUCAAUUCUAAAUUUUUUUAGCCACCUUGCAUAUGGCAGUUUUGUUGGUUAAGUUUAGUGUGAAAAUUGCUCCAGUAAUUUCAUCAGUCACAUGUAUUUAACAUGUUCCCUGCCAUUGCGUUUUGCGUGUUAGUGUUUUCUUGGUAUUGGAAUGUGACAGUAAUAAACCUUUGUUCAAGAAGAUCUGUUCGGCAACAUCUGUACGUGAGAGUUACUUUAACUUGCUUGACAUGGAAUAUAUUAGAUGAAUCUGGAACAUAUCUGUCCUAAUAUAAGUUCAUAAUAGAUGAAGUCAAUAAAGAAUGGGCCACUAGACAUG
Molecule: long non-coding RNA, 1921 nt
Filed under: Bemisia tabaci
Lineage: Eukaryota; Metazoa; Arthropoda; Insecta; Hemiptera; Aleyrodidae
Description: lncRNA ENSSSA2NGG000590
Source: RNAcentral